UACGUAGGGUGCGAGCGUUGUCCGGAAUUACUGGGCGUAAAGAGCUCGUAGGUGGUUUGUCGCGUUGUUCGUGAAAACUCAUAGCUUAACUGUGGGCGUGCGGGCGAUACGGGCAGACUGGAGUACUGCAGGGGAGACUGGAAUUCCUGGUGUAGCGGUGGAAUGCGCAGAUAUCAGGAGGAACACCGGUGGCGAAGGCGGGUCUCUGGGCAGUAACUGACGCUGAGGAGCGAAAGCGUGGGGAGCGAACAGG
Molecule: ribosomal RNA, 253 nt
Filed under: uncultured bacterium
Lineage: Bacteria
Description: partial 16S ribosomal RNA
Rfam family: Bacterial small subunit ribosomal RNA
Source: RNAcentral